This 346-nucleotide ribosomal RNA is filed under the name uncultured bacterium. RNAcentral's name for it is "partial 16S ribosomal RNA". It matches the Rfam family "Bacterial small subunit ribosomal RNA", at positions 338 to 681 of the family's 1533-position model. The record is from RNAcentral.
CCUACGGGUGGCAGCAGUGAGGAAGAUUGGUCAAUGGGCGCGAGCCUGAACCAGCCAAGUAGCGUGAAGGAUGACUGCCCUACGGGUUGUAAACUUCUUUUAUAAAGGAAUAAAGUGAGGCACGUGGGCCGUUUUGUAUGUACUUUAUGAAUAAGGAUCGGCUAACUCCGUGCCAGCAGCCGCGGUAAUACGGAGGAUCCGAGCGUUAUCCGGAUUUAGUGGGGUUAACGGGAGCGUAGUUGGGUUGUUAAGUCAGUUGUGAAAGUUUGCGGCGCAACCGUAAAAUUGCCAUUGAUACUGGCAGUCUUGCGUACAGUUGAGGUCGGCGGCUUUCGUGUUGUAGCGG